CUGCAGUGAGUAUCACAUCAUCAAUAACUCGGCGUGGAACCGGCUCAGGACUGAUGAACCGGACAGACCUCCUCUGGUUCAUUAAAGUGUAGAAGUCCUUGGAUCUCUGCUGCAUCGUCUCCUCUGGGUAGCGAGGAGGUCCUGAUCUACCCACGGCCUAAAGUCUCCUUUUGUGGCUCCUUUGUUUUUUUCUGUCGAUGUGGCCUCCGAUCCCCAAGAUUGCACCAGCAUGAAGCCCAAAACCAAACACAAGAUCAGCGCCAGGACAGGGGUGAGGACGGACAGGAGAACCAUGCCUGCCUGAGUGAAGCUCAAGAGGACUUCGGCUGACUGCAGAAGAAGGACUGCUGCGGUGAUCUGGAGCGGAUCUUUAUGCUGAGUCAGCGCCUGAGUCGGCCAUCAGAGGAAAAAAAAUAAGAAAAGCAAAAAGAGGUCACACUGAAGUUAACUAUGUUGUUGUGACAAAGUCCUGCAGUGGAGUUAAUAUUCUACUUUUUCCUAGAAGAGAUGGCAUCAGAACUUUCACAGCGGAAGAAAAAGAUCUUAUGGUAAACUUAAUGAGUGUAAUAAAAAAGAUAAACACAAAAA
Molecule: long non-coding RNA, 588 nt
Organism: Oryzias melastigma (Indian medaka)
Lineage: Eukaryota; Metazoa; Chordata; Actinopteri; Beloniformes; Adrianichthyidae
Exons: 2
Source: RefSeq, a predicted model, not a curated record